Gadus macrocephalus (Pacific cod) is the source of this 731-nucleotide long non-coding RNA. RefSeq lists it as uncharacterized. The transcript has 3 exons. The record is from RefSeq and is a predicted model, not a curated record. Lineage: Eukaryota; Metazoa; Chordata; Actinopteri; Gadiformes; Gadidae.
GAAAUAUUUCGGACCAUUGAGACGUCGGAACAAAGAGGAGUCGGAAUUAGGGGCAGCCGCAGAAAGACCAUUGGGGCAAUGGUCUUUCCUCUUUUAAAACGUAAGCGACGUUUGAGUGACGAUAAAUGAUUUAGACUGGGGUCAAAUUCUAAAAGUGUCCAAUGCUUAUGACGAUUUGUUUGACCUGCUUUGAUGCAGUGGAGUAUUCAGACACAAAAGUCACUAUACGUAGGUGUAGGAUAAGUGGUCAAUAAUAAGUGUUUCAUCAUACCCUCUUUGUCUAAAACGUUGGGACAUUUCAUACUUUAAUUUCAUGAUCUUAUCCUUCUUUGACUUGAUAUAGCCUACUAUUGUUGACUGCACAUCACCAGCACCUGAGAAUCAAAAGGCUGUGCAUUGGGACUUCUUUCUUUUUAGUAUCAAGUAGACCAAUCCCUUUUUUUAAGUUUCGUUUUCAAAGGAAUAGAGUAGGCUAUACAGGGCGUUUACCACACCUUGGUUAAAAGCCUUCCACUAGCGCUAUCAUUUAUCUCCUGCUUCCACGAUGGGCUAUUUGCAUGCUCUUCGUUCUUUAUUUGACAAUAUCAACCGUUGGGGGAAUAAAAUGCUACUCGUGUGUCGCCGGAGACCCCCUCUCCUGCCUUGAGACCAAAGAAUGUUCCAUCCCCAUGGAUCGCUGUUACAGCCUGGAUCUGACUGGCCUUGGGGAAACCUUGAUCAAGGGAUGUCAA